CCCAAUGUGUGAUUUGGCCUAUAGUUUCAGUAUAAUUAAAUAUAAUCAUUAGAUUGUUUUAGAGCAUAUCAGAACUCAAAUCAAAAUAUAACUCCCCAAAUCAAGGCCAUCAAUGCACUGUUGACACAUCAUUAAUACGCUGCCUAGAAGCUUGUCUCUCUCACGACCGUCCAGCUCCGGAAUCAAGGCACAAUCGACUCUGUUCCAGCGACAUUUUCGUUGCCGAAAUCAUUGCCCCCAUAGCAGUCCUAGCCUUGGAUCGUGCCACCAUCGGCGCUUCAGCAUUCAUCACGCCAGCGGCCCUUGAAUCACCGAGAUCCUCGCGGUCACAUGCAGGAAAAGGAAAGAAAUCAAAGCAAAAUCGCAGCAAAUAGAUUAGAACAGGAUAUGGAAAGAAACCGUGUGAUUUCUUUCCUAAAGUACGUCAGUUUAAGGCUAUAAAGCCUUUCUGAGAAUCUGUAAAGGACUUACUAUAGCACCCCAAACCCGGCCCAGACGUUAUGACCGG
This 508-nucleotide long non-coding RNA is filed under the name Gossypium barbadense (sea-island cotton). RNAcentral's name for it is "long non-coding RNA (GBAR_LNC006957)". The record is from RNAcentral. Lineage: Eukaryota; Viridiplantae; Streptophyta; Magnoliopsida; Malvales; Malvaceae.